GAUGAACGCUGGCGGCGUGCCUAAUACAUGCAAGUCGAGCGAACAGAUGAGGAGCUUGCUCCUCUGACGUUAGCGGCGGACGGGUGAGUAACACGUGGAUAACCUACCUAUAAGACUGGGAUAACUUCGGGAAACCGGAGCUAAUACCGGAUAAUAUAUUGAACCGCAUGGUUCAAUAGUGAAAGACGGUUUUGCUGUCACUUAUAGAUGGAUCCGCGCCGCAUUAGCUAGUUGGUAAGGUAACGGCUUACCAAGGCAACGAGGCGUAGCCGACCUGAUAGGGUGAUCGGCCACACGGGAACUGAGACAAGGUACAGACGCCUACGGGAGGAAGCAGUAGGGAAUCUUCCGAAAUGGGCGAAAGCCUGACGGAGCAACGCCGCGUGAGUGAUGAAGGUCUUCGGAUCGUAAAACUCUGUUAUUAGGGAAGAACAAAUGUGUAAGUAACUAUGCACGUCUUGACGGUACCUAAUCAGAAAGCCACGGCUAACUACGUG
Molecule: ribosomal RNA, 497 nt
Filed under: uncultured bacterium
Lineage: Bacteria
Description: partial 16S ribosomal RNA
Rfam family: Bacterial small subunit ribosomal RNA
Source: RNAcentral